ACAUUUCGAAAGGGGGUCUAAUACUGGAUAACAUCCUGAUGGUUUAGGCCAUAAGGAUCAAAGAUAGCCUCUACAUGUAAGCUAUUGUGCAGGGAUGAGCCCGCGUACCAUUAGCUAGUUGGUGGGGUAAGAGCCUACCAAGGCGACGAUGGUUAGCUGGUCUGAGAGGAUGAUCAGCCACACUGGAACUGAAACACGGUCCAGACUCCUACGGGAGGCAGCAGUGAGGAAUUUUGCGCAAUGGGGGAAACCCUGACGCAGCAACGCCGCGUGAGUGAAGAAGGCUUUCGGGUCGUAAAGCUCUGUCAAGAGGGAAGAAAGUGGGAGAUGGCAAUACUGUUUUCUAUUGACGGUACCUCUGAAGGAAGCACCGGCUAACUCCGUGCCAGCAGCCGCGGUAA
RNAcentral lists this ribosomal RNA (401 nucleotides) under uncultured delta proteobacterium. RNAcentral describes it as "bacterial SSU rRNA". It matches the Rfam family "Bacterial small subunit ribosomal RNA", at positions 146 to 523 of the family's 1533-position model. The record is from RNAcentral. Lineage: Bacteria; Deltaproteobacteria.